GGUAUAGAUGUAUCUGAGGCAGAUGUUAUUGUGGGAGUGUAUCACAGGUCAUAUCAUUGGACUUUAGUGAUUGUUGAAGUAAGAGAAGGCAAGAUUUUUUUCUAAACCCAUGUGGAGAGAGGAGCCAUGAGAUGAAAAAAAUUGAGAGGAGUUGGAGGAAAUAUGACAGUGAAUAUCGGAACAAGUACCAAAUAAGCAACAAGUCACCAGAUUGGAAGAA
Long non-coding RNA from Saccostrea cuccullata (small rock oyster), 220 nucleotides. RefSeq lists it as uncharacterized. NCBI's taxonomy places the organism in Eukaryota, Metazoa, Mollusca, Bivalvia, Ostreida, Ostreidae. The transcript has 3 exons. The record is from RefSeq and is a predicted model, not a curated record.